Molecule: long non-coding RNA, 530 nt
Filed under: Ictidomys tridecemlineatus (thirteen-lined ground squirrel)
Lineage: Eukaryota; Metazoa; Chordata; Mammalia; Rodentia; Sciuridae
Description: lncRNA (ENSSTOG00000031388.1)
Source: RNAcentral
AUGCUCAUUACAGAACCAGCCAGAUUAAGUUAUGCCACUGUUUUUUUUUUUUCCAAAGGCCUGCAGCACAGGUGCCCCAAGACAGAAACGAAGGUCGGGCUGGACGUGCAGCUGCAGACGCACCUCACCCACCCACCCUCAGAGCAGAGUGCUCCUGUGCUCUUCAUCACACAGGGUGACACCUGUGGCUCUCAGCCUCUGCAAACGUGCAGAGUAAGACGCUCACUGAUGCAUACCUUAGGCUCCUUGGACUGCCAUCGUCAAUACCGCCCGCCCGGUCAGAUUCGCGUUGCCGUGACCAAAACACCCAAAAGCAACUUAGAGCAGGAAGAGGUGAACUGGGGCUGGUGGUUUCCGAGGCUCCGUCCACACGUGGCCGAUUCCAUGGCUCUGGGACAAGGUGGCACAUACCACGGCAGAAGGGCACGGUGAGGAGCACUGCUCCACGCUGGGCAGCCGGGAAGCAGGGGUGGUGGGGUCCAGAGGUGACACGCCCUUCCAGGACACAGCCCCAGGGACCCACCCCCUCC